This 175-nucleotide long non-coding RNA is filed under the name Monodelphis domestica (gray short-tailed opossum). RNAcentral describes it as "lncRNA (ENSMODG00000038967.1)". The record is from RNAcentral. Lineage: Eukaryota; Metazoa; Chordata; Mammalia; Didelphimorphia; Didelphidae.
CAGCCUAAGUUACUACAAACUUAAACCCGUAUACUCCUGUAACCUUCUGGAGGAGGCAACAGAGAACAGAGGGCUUCUUUUCAACAUCUCACACCAAAAGGUUCAAGAUGGAAAGAUGUGAACAGUAAUCCUCAACCCCUUCCCCUGCAAUAAGAGCCUAGCCAGGAGGAGCAUG